AACAGUUCAAUUACAACAUCUGUUGUCAAUUAAAGUGCUCUUGUAAUUCUGUCCUCUUUAUUAUCGUCCUUAUGUUAUUACAGUCCAUAAUCUAUUAAAAGGUUGCAAUAUAUCACAAUAACUUAAAGUUCCUAAUUUGUGCGUAAUAUUGAUUCAUGUCCUGAGAAUAUUGUCAAAUAAAGUCAACUUUUGAAAGUGCCGUUCAAAGAACUGCUAUGUACACUAUCAAUAACACAGAAGAAGAGCUAUGAACCAUAAAUAAAAUAAUUGACCACUUACGGAAAGAGGUGCAUCAAUAUUUACUUGAAACUUAAUUGUAUUUGUGUAUCUACCAGUUGAUAAAGUAACAGAAAGAAAUGCGUUCGUUUAUUUUGUUACUCACAACAUUGGUUGCAAUUAGCCCAAUUUGCUGUUUCAAAAUCCGACGAUUUCCAUCGAAUUUCAAAUUUGGUUUGGCAACAGCUUCAUAUCAGAUUGAAGGAGGAUGGAAUGCUAGUGGAAAAGGAGAGAACAUCUGGGACCAUUUUACUCAUAAGUACCCAAGUAAAGUAGAAGAUCAUACCACAGGAGACAUCGCUUGUGACUCAUAUCAUCUUUGGAAAGAAGAUGUAAAAUUACUAAAAGAUAUUGGAGUACAUUUCUACCGAUUUUCCUUAUCCUGGUCAAGAAUUCUCCCUACGGUACACUGAUGGUGUAACGAAAUUAACCCCGAUGGCCUUCGUUAUUAUAACAACCUGAUAGACGCCCUAUUAGAAAAUAAUAUAGAACCUGUAGUGACAAUGUACCAUUUCGAUCUGCCUCAAGACCUACAAGAUUUAGGUGGAAUGGCAAACCUCAAAAUUGCAGAAUAUGCGGUUGACUAUGCCAGGGUUCUUUUCAAAAAUUUCGGAGACAGGGUUAAAUGGUGGAUUACUUUUAAUGAGCCCCUAACGUAUUGCUCCUUUGGGUAUACUGGUGUUAUAGCACCGGCUAUUAUAUCACCCGGUGUCGGAGUCUAUCUGUGCGGGAAAACUAUCCUUGUAGGACAUGGAAUGAUAUACAGGAUGUACAAAAAGGAAUUUAAAGAGAAACAGAAUGGAAAAAUUGGCAUCACAAUCAAUACAUACUGGUUUCAACCAAAGACUUCAUCACCUGAAGAUAUUGAAGCCACAAAGCGAACACGGGAAAUUUUAUUUGGAUGGUGGAUGAAUCCGAUCUUCUCGAAGGAAGGAAACUACCCACAACUGAUGAUUGACAGGAUCGGCAACGUCAGUAAGGGCGAAAACUUUUCCGAAUCCCGACUACCUCCGCUUACCAAAGACCAAAUUAAAUUAAUAAGAGGUGCUUUUGAUUUCUUGGGCCUAAAUUAUUAUACAGGCAAAACUGUCCGAGCCAACUUAGUUCCCCCUUACAAUCCACCCACCUUGGAUCAAGAUACGGGAGCAACUGUAGAAAGUAUUAAAGGUCUCGAACGCAGUGGUGCAGCAUGGCUUGACGUUUACCCAGAAGGCCUGGAAUAUUUACUGGAAUGUAUAAAAACUGAUUACCAUAAUCCACCUAUUCUUAUCACUGAAAACGGUUAUCCUGAUAACGAUGGCCGACUCAACGAUCCUAGACGAAUCAAUUAUAUACAGAAGCAUGUGAUCGCAAUUUUAAAAGCAAUAAAGAAAGGUAGCAAAGUAUUUGGCUACACCUACUGGGGUAUGAUGGAUGAUUUUGAAUGGAACAGCGGAUACACGUACAAAUUUGGAGUAAUUCAGGUAAACUUCACCAGCCCAAAUAGAACGCGUACUCUGAAAUUAUCCGCACAUUUUUUCAAAGUCCUUACAGAAUGCAGGGUAGUUCCCUCAGGGGACAUUGCUAAAUGUGCAAUUCCUAUUUUUGAUAUUUCAGGAAAAGUAGGAAUUACAAUAGAUUCACGAUGGGGCGAACCCAAAACAACUUCACCAAAAGAUAUUGCAGCAGCUGAACGUGCGAUACAAAUGAAUUUUGGAUGGUGGAUGAACCCAAUAUUUUCAAACGACGGGGAUUUCCCCAAAGUAAUGAAAGACAGAAUAGAAUUUGUUAGUAAAUCUCAAAACUUCAACGAGUCCAGAUUGCCCACUUUAACAUCUUCAGAAAUUAAAUACAUUCAAGGAACCUAUGAUUUCCUCGGAUUAAACCAUUACACAACAAGAUUUAUCGAAGAAGGUAAUUUAACUCCUUCUCAAGUACCAUCGUUUGAUGACGAUGUUGGAGUUAAAGCAGUAGUAGACCCAAAAUGGAAACAAUCAGCUGCCGACUGGAUAUUUGUAGUUCCCUGGGGAUUUAGAAAACUCCUCAACUGGAUACGUGUGAAAUACAAUAACCCUUUGGUUUUUGUCACCGAAAAUGGGUAUGCUGAUAAGGGAGAAGUGAACGAUGUCGGCAGAGUUGACUACCAUAAUCAAUAUCUGACACAACUGCUGCAUGCAAUUGAGGACGGUUGCAAUGUGCAACGCUAUACAAUAUGGAGCUUAAUUGAUAAUAUGGAGUGGUCAUCCGGCUACACGGCUAAAUGUGCAAUUUCUAUUUUUGAUAUUUCAGGAAAAGUAGGAAUUACAAUAGAUUCACGAUGGGGCGAACCCAAAACAACUUCACCAAAAGAUAUUGCAGCAGCUGAACGUGCGAUACAAAUGAAUUUUGGAUGGUGGAUGAACCCAAUAUUUUCAAACGACGGGGAUUUCCCCAAAGUAAUGAAAGACAGAAUAGAAUUUGUUAGUAAAUCUCAAAACUUCAACGAGUCCAGAUUGCCCACUUUAACAUCUUCAGAAAUUAAAUACAUUCAAGGAACCUAUGAUUUCCUCGGAUUAAACCAUUACACAACAAGAUUUAUCGAAGAAGGUAAUUUAACUCCUUCUCAAGUACCAUCGUUUGAUGACGAUGUUGGAGUUAAAGCAGUAGUAGACCCAAAAUGGAAACAAUCAGCUGCCGACUGGAUAUUUGUAGUUCCCUGGGGAUUUAGAAAACUCCUCAACUGGAUACGUGUGAAAUACAAUAACCCUUUGGUUUUUGUCACCGAAAAUGGGUAUGCUGAUAAGGGAGAAGUGAACGAUGUCGGCAGAGUUGACUACCAUAAUCAAUAUCUGACACAACUGCUGCAUGCAAUUGAGGACGGUUGCAAUGUGCAACGCUAUACAAUAUGGAGCUUAAUUGAUAAUAUGGAGUGGUCAUCCGGCUACACCUUAAAAUUCGGUCUAUACCACGUCGACUUCAACAGCUCUACUAGAACCCGAACACCAAAAAAAUCUGCCAGUUUCUAUAAAAGUGUUAUCAACUACAGAGGCUUGCCAAAGUUUACUAAGGGGAAGCUCUAUUCGUAGAAAUAUAUUACAGGGGCAAAAAGUGAUAUUACGUAUUAGGUUCUGAAUGCUUGCCAAGCAUUCGGUGAAGUUUUGUACUUUACAAAGUCUACAACUGCAGUAAUCAAUUUUAAUUUGACAAAAAGAAAAAAGUUCGAUCAAUAAAAUCAACGAAAAGUGAGUUAGUACAUUUGAAAAACUACAUACAUAUAUAUAGUUUUAGAUAAAGGUACUAUUUUGUUGAAAAGUAAAUUAUUUUAAUGAAAAACUAGUGAUAACAUAUUUAAACCUAUAUUCGAUUAGUGCAUACAAAUCUAUGUCAAAUUUCGAUUAGUUUUUAUCAUCAAAAUGAUCGGUACGAAAAUAAUAAAUGGUCAGUAUGGAAAUGCUAAACGGUCAAUAAUUGUGUAGGUAUUAAUUGUUUUGUUAGUUAUCUAGUUUACAUUUAAAUAGUGACCUCUUUGAUUCAAAUUCUAACCAUUUAUACUUAAAUACUAAUCCUUCAUAUUUGCAUACUUUCCAUCAAAGGAUACCGACCAUAUGGAUUUAUAUACUACCCACUAAACUAAAAUCCAUUUGAAACUACUUAAUUUUGAUAAUACGCAGUAGUACAUAAUAUUCUUUUUUAUCUAAAUAAAAUAUAAAAUAAAAAGUUAGCUAAUGUAUUCUUAUAUUAAAUGCAUGUUUCCUA
Agrilus planipennis (emerald ash borer) is the source of this 3990-nucleotide RNA transcript. It is a transcript of the gene named lactase-phlorizin hydrolase, with no coding region annotated. The transcript is spliced from 16 exons. Lineage: Eukaryota; Metazoa; Arthropoda; Insecta; Coleoptera; Buprestidae. The record is from RefSeq and is a predicted model, not a curated record.